This 346-nucleotide ribosomal RNA is filed under the name uncultured bacterium. Its description in RNAcentral is "partial 16S ribosomal RNA". It matches the Rfam family "Bacterial small subunit ribosomal RNA", at positions 338 to 681 of the family's 1533-position model. The record is from RNAcentral.
CCUACGGGAGGCAGCAGUGAGGAAUAUUGGUCAAUGGACGAGAGUCUGAACCAGCCAAGUAGCGUGAAGGAUGACUGCCCUAUGGGUUGUAAACUUCUUUUAUAUGGGAAUAAAAUGUGCCACGUGUGGGAUUUUGUAUGUACCAUAUGAAUAAGGAUCGGCUAACUCCGUACCAGCAGCCGCGGUAAUACGGAGGAUCCGAGCGUUAUCCGGAUUUAUUGGGGUUACCGGGAGCGUAGGUGGUUUGUUAAGUCAGUUGGGACAGUUUGCGGCUCAACCGUAAAAUUGCCGUUGAAACUGGCAGUCUUGCGUACAGUAGCGGUGGGCGGAAUUCGUGGUGUAGCGG